RNAcentral lists this ribosomal RNA (384 nucleotides) under Triticum aestivum (bread wheat). Its description in RNAcentral is "partial small subunit ribosomal RNA". Lineage: Eukaryota; Viridiplantae; Streptophyta; Magnoliopsida; Poales; Poaceae. The record is from RNAcentral.
AUGGAGUUGAUUGGUGCCUUGGGCCGCGGAGACGAUGAAUCGGCCAAUGGAUCCAGGGUGGCUGUGGGCGGCGGAUUUGGUCAAGGGUCAUAUGGGCAGAUGUUGAAUGGUGCGGCGUGCAGCGAGGAGAGAACUGUAGAUGGUGGUGGCGCCGCCAUGUCCAGGUUCAGUGAGAGCGAGGGUGACAAUGAAGAAGCUCUUGACCAGGUGGAGGGGGAAGCACACUUUGAUGGAGACCAGGAGGCUGUGAUUCAGGAUCAAAUUGAUAGUGCUGAUGGAUGUUCUGCUCAAUCUACAGGCAAGGUGGAUCCGCAAGCACCUGGCUGGACAAAAAGAGUAAGAGUCGGCAAUCAACCGCCAGACAGGGCUCCAUGUAGGCGCUGA